UACGUAGGGGGCAAGCGUUGUCCGGAUUUAUUGGGCGUGAAGAGCGUGUAGGCGGCCAGGUAGGUCCGCUGUGAAAACUCGAGGCUCAACCUCGAGACGUCGGUUGAAACCGUUUGGCUAGAGUCCGGAAGAGGAGAGUGGAAUUCCCGGUGUAGCGGUGAAAUGCGCAGAUAUCGGGAAGAACACCCGUGGCGAAGGCGGCUCUCUGGGACGGUACUGACGCUGAGACGCGAAAGCGUGGGGAGCGAACAGG
Molecule: ribosomal RNA, 253 nt
Filed under: uncultured bacterium
Lineage: Bacteria
Description: partial 16S ribosomal RNA
Rfam family: Bacterial small subunit ribosomal RNA
Source: RNAcentral